RNAcentral lists this transfer RNA (74 nucleotides) under Pterocles gutturalis (yellow-throated sandgrouse). It matches the Rfam family "tRNA". Rfam says of the family: Transfer RNA (tRNA) molecules are approximately 80 nucleotides in length. Their secondary structure includes four short double-helical elements and three loops (D, anti-codon, and T loops). The record is from Rfam by way of RNAcentral. Lineage: Eukaryota; Metazoa; Chordata; Aves; Pterocliformes; Pteroclidae.
GUCCCUGUGGUGCAAUCGGGGAGUGCGUUCGGCUGUUAACUGAAAGGUUGGUGGUUCAAGCCCACCCAGGGACA